UCUCCCGUAAGGGAGCAGUCUUGCCUGACAUAUAAAACAGACAACGGGGGUUGCGUUCGUUUCCCCACUUAAGGGAACAGCUCAAGCCACGAACUGACGACGACCAUGCAUCACCUGCCAUACACCCUCGAAGGCUCUCGGCGUUUCUGCCGAAAUGCAGUAUGGUUUCAAGCCCUGGUAAGGUUCUUCGCUUACCGACGAAUUAAGCCACAUGAUCCACCGCUUGUGCGAAUUCCCGUCUAUUCCUUUGAGUUUUAGUCUUGCGACCGUACUACCCAGGCGGUUCUCUUAACGCGUUAGCUACGCCACGAAGAGGGUCGAUACUCCUCAUAGCUAGAGAACAUGGUUUAGGGCGUGGACUA
Molecule: unclassified non-coding RNA, 362 nt
Filed under: uncultured bacterium
Lineage: Bacteria
Description: contains 16S-23S intergenic spacer region
Source: RNAcentral